Molecule: long non-coding RNA, 2288 nt
Organism: Equus asinus (donkey)
Lineage: Eukaryota; Metazoa; Chordata; Mammalia; Perissodactyla; Equidae
Source: Ensembl
GGGCGGCGGGCGGGCGGGCGGCUGGCGCGCUGUGUACUUAGGUCGUGUGCUGGGGCUUUUCUCUCCCAGGAGCCGGCGGGGGGAGGGGGAGGAGGAGGGGCCACCGCUCCGCCUUCUCCUUUUCGCAAUGUUGACGCAAUCUAUAAAUAGUGGAACAAAAGGACCAACUUCCUCGGAGCUUUGCUGAAACUGCACAAAAAAUCGAGCUGGGGGGUUCCCUGGUCCCUGGCGAUGGGGCGGGGAGCGCAGCGCCAGGGGAGGGGGCGGGCGCGACAGCGCGGGCCCCGCCGAGGGGGACACCUGGCUGAGGCACAGCUGCCGCCGCGCCGCGCGAACCCAAGGCUCCAGUCCCUGCGCGGGUUGGAGCGCUCAUCCCCACCGGGGGUCUUCCUCCGCCGAUGACAGGUCAGUCCGUACCGCCCCUUUUUACACCGGGUUUUCUAUUCCCUCCCCCAAGCCUCUACUUUUAGAAAGGAAUUGGAGGAAAAAUAGAACGAGGCGCAGCAGUGACAGCCACCAAAUCUGCAACCCCAGCAGUCUACCGCGGGGUGGCCGAGGGGGCUCAAGGAGGCGGUCCGCGCCUGGCCCCUCGUCGUACAGCCGGUGCCCGCGCCGCGGCCGGAGACGAAGCCAGGUAAAUAUUGUUGCCAGUUAUUUCCACAAGAAACAUUUUAAGAGAUGAUGUCAGAUCACAGAAUCUUACAUGAAGCUCACAGCUGGCCAAAACAAACAAGUAAAUGCAUGCCUAUCGACUGAUAUGUCAUCUGUGGACCCUAGGGCCCGCAGUCCUCGUGGUCCCUCCACCUCCGCGGCUGAGCAAAGGAGCUGAACGCACGCGCAAGAAAAGAAACAGGACUGCGACGGAGGAAGCGAAGGGAGAGCGGCGAACAACGAUGAUUCUACGCAUGUUCAAGGCGCGGGGGUUGGGGUAGGAGUUUGCGCAUGAGCAGAAGCGUCGGGAAAGGAAGAGAAGGGGGGUUAGGAGGCGGUAUUGACAGCUGUGGAGGCAGCCCGCGUUCCCGGCAUGCCCUGGGGCGGCGGGGUUGGCUCUAACGAAUUUGAAUGAGGAGCCUCAGCGCUUUCGGCGCCAUUUUCGAGUGAUGCCUGAUCUCAUCAAUCUAGCGGGAGAGACGGGAUAACCUGUCCGAGAGUAUAGCGCCGCUAGGACUCCGCCGAAAAAUCACUAAAAAAAUCGCCAAAAAUUACUUGAAGCAAAGGGCAGUCCGCAGAGCUUCGCCAGGGUUGGCGCAGUCGUCUUUGAAACAUGUCGCAAGGAAAAAAGCAAUCUGUGAAACUAUUGAUGUUUUCCUCCCGAAACGUCUUUUUACCCGGGCAACUUAACGGUUUUGACCUUUAGGAGAGAGCCAAUUCUGGAGAACAACCUAACUUCUUUGAUUGAACACUCACAUAAUGCAUUGGAACAUGAUAGGAGAUUAAGGAAAAAGAUUUACACGUUAAGCGACGGGAGAAUGGCAAAUUAUGACAUAGUCAUGAUGAACUGUUUAUUAUACUGCUGUUAAAGUGAGAGUUAUGUCUAUCAUCGUGGAUGAAUGUCUUCAAACAAAAACAAGUUGCAAAAGGUUUAAUAAUGAUAAAAUGAAGACCAUAAUAAAACAGCCCCCUACUUAGCCCAGCAAUUCUUACUUUUCUUACCUGCUUGAUGAAGAUGUCUUUUGAAAGAUGUACUACAAGGAAUGAAACGCUGUUUGUAAAUAAUGCUUUUACCAAGGUGGAUAUUACUAUCCCUUAUUCAUGGAAAAAGUUGUAUUCUAAGUGUUGUUUCUCGUUGAGUAUUAACAAAAAGGAGAAAAAUUAAUGUCCUAAAGUUUUGAGAUAGAUUUGGCUCUAGUAAGUAUUUAGACAUACUGCUUGCAUAUCUGGGAGAAGAAAUGAGACCAUUAUCAGUACAUUUCCAGCUGAAAAAUUCUAUUUUCUUACCUCUUAUCAAGGAAUUUCUUACAAUUUCUGUUGUAUUACCAAUAGCUUAAGCUCAUUUAAUGCAGAAUUAACUCCUCUACCAGAAAUUUAAUAAUUUAUGUUAUUCCCUUGUUUAUGAAAUAUAUCCCACGGAUUUCUGAUGUCUUUUUUUUUUUUUUUUUUUUUAGACUAUAUGCAGUGAAGAAAAUGUUGGCCAAAUAAAUAAGUUUAAACCUUUUAUGUUAAAAUUACUGUGCAAAGUGACAAGUUAGUUGCUGGGGGGUUUCUUGUCUUUAAUAUACUAAAAUUAAAUGCAACAUUUAUAAUUUCUAUUUGGGUCUAUUUCUUGAUUAUUAAUACAUUGAAUUCAU